Molecule: long non-coding RNA, 2293 nt
Organism: Dreissena polymorpha
Lineage: Eukaryota; Metazoa; Mollusca; Bivalvia; Myida; Dreissenidae
Exons: 3
Source: RefSeq, a predicted model, not a curated record
GAUCUGUGGCGGUAACAGGCUGAAAAAACUGACGUUCAGAAAUCAACCCAGUUCCACCAGCAGAGACGUUCUCCAUGGCCUGUGCGGGUUUACUUUGACGAAGACCUUGCAGUGAGCGAAAUGUUGCAGGAAGCAUAGACAAGGUGCAAGGUCAUUUGGGCAUUGGCCUUCUUAGCUGGGCCUGGCCGGAAUGUUCUUGAUCGUGGAAAGAAGAGGGUCAUCUUCGCGUUUUGAGAGGGUCUUUAGGAUCAGUGAUUUAACUUCCGUGGGAAGAGAGCUGAAGCCUCUCGCAAUCUCCCUGACUGCUGUCCAGGAGAAUACUGGCUGUACCAGGAAGCAUCAGGUGUUAAAACUGAUGGAUCAGCAGACAGCAGUGAGUGAUGCUCCACGAAUUAGUAGUCGACUGGAGAAUUGAUAUUGCUGCAUAUUCCAGCGCAAGUAGUCUGCAGUCUGCGGAAAGGUUCCUCCAUCCUUUUGGGGGCCAGCAUAGCCAUGGUGCGAGUGUAAUUGACUCAUCAGAUACAGAUGCCAAAUCGCGUAUAGAAGGGGGUAGGAGUGGCAUUGCCUAACUGAUCAGAAGGGCCUUGGCAUGUGAUUGCAUGAACGUGUUGGCAGACGUUGGCACAUAGGGUUCCACCAUAGACAAUGGAGCUGGAGAAUACUUCUUGGCCCUUGAUUAUCAGUGUUUGGGGUAGAGAUAAAGGUGUCGAACCUCUAAUGAGGCGAUGAUUGUAGUGAUCUCGUUGGUUUUCUGGAGAGGGGCGAUUGCAGUAGUUGAAGAUGGUUAAGUUUUUUUUUAGAAUUUUCCGACAAUAAAUUUCACACAUUAUAUACAUUACAAUAAAGAUUAUAUCAUCUCAAAAUUGAUAUCACAUUUACAACCUUAUCACAGUUAUAAACUAUAGCUUUGUCAGAGAAGUGACAAAUACCCGCUCCGCCAUAUGGAUAGAAGCUCAUAAACCUAUAUUAUCAGCUAUGUCCUCCGGCUCCAAAACCUAUAUAAUCAGCUAUAUCAUCUGGCCCCUAAACAUAUUAUAUCAGCUUUGUCACCUGGCCCCAAAACCUAUAUAAUCAGUCUAAUUCAGCACACAUUUUAUAGACUUGUUUUGUCGUUAUCAGAUGUAAAUGAACACACAUUUUUAAGACUUGUUUUGUGUAUGUACCCCGACCCCAAAACCUUUAUAACAAGCUAUGUUCCCUGGCCCCCAAACCUAUAAUAUCAUCUAUGUCCCCCGGCCCCGUAACCUCAUAUCAGCUAUGUCCCCUGGCCCCAAAACCUAAAAUAUCAGCUGUCCCUUGGCCCCACAUGUAAAUACAUUAAAUAUUGCUUUAAAAAAAUUGUCGGUUUCAGCAAGAUGUCCAAGUAUGAUCUUCCUGCUGUCAAUUUCAGUGAUCCACUGAUUUCACUCAGAAUAUCAUUCUUUUUAAUGAUCUCCUCAAGCAUCUGACGAGAAAUGUCAAGCAUCUCUUGAUGACAAUCACAACCUGCAAGUGGGAUCAAAUGAAAGUGAUAUUAUAAACUAUGUGAUGAAUCAUUAAUUUCUUUGUCUUAAAAGUUGUUAUUUCAAGUGACUAUCAGUGUUCAUUAAAGGAGUGUAAAUAUGCCUAUCUCCAAGUAUGCUUCACGUCACCUUUCAUAACAAAAAUGUAUGAUAUCAGUCAAUUAAUGAAGGUAAACAUAGUGAGACAUAACAUUAAUAUUUAUAACAAGAGCUAUCCAUGAUCAGCCACUCCACUUAUUAGGGGCUGGAAAUUUUUAUGAAAGCAAUUUCUACAAGCUCUAUCCGCCCUUGUUAAUUGUGGUCCCCACAUGAUCCCCACAUGAUCCUGAACAAGCAAAGGUAGUUUAAAAUAUAUAUCAUUGACAUAUUCUGAGAUAAGGAUCUUUACAAAAAAAAAUUAACUUAAAAUGAAAGGCUAAUUUGAAAAAGUGGCAAAACUGUAGAAAAAAUUAUUUUAGGGUUACAUGCCCUUGUGUUUUGUUGUCCUCAUAUGAGAGUAAACAAGCAUAGAAAGUCUAGAGCAAAUAUCUUCAAUUGUUUCUGAGCUAUGGACCUUAACAAAAAGGUAUAUGUGCAAUGACGUGUCCAGAGCUUAAAGAACUAAAGCUUUGUCACAUAAUUGGACUGAUGAAAAUUUGAUCAACCCUUCAUAGUUGUCUUCCUGUUGCUGGCAGGGGUACUGGCGAUGCUUUUGGAGGUUGUUGGAACCGGAACAGGUUCACUUGGAACUAAAACAUGAAUUCGGACAUUAAGGGUAAUGUAAAAAGAAAUGAUGUUACCAGUGUGUGUAA